UGGGGAAUUUUGGACAAUGGGCGCAAGCCUGAUCCAGCCAUGCCGCGUGCGGGAAGAAGGCCUUCGGGUUGUAAACCGCUUUUGUCAGGGAAGAAAUCUUCUGAGUUAAUACCUCGGGAGGAUGACGGUACCUGAAGAAUAAGCACCGGCUAACUACGUGCCAGCAGCCGCGGUAAUACGUAGGGUGCAAGCGUUAAUCGGAAUUACUGGGCGUAAAGCGUGCGCAGGCGGUUUUGUAAGACAGAGGUGAAAUCCCCGGGCUCAACCUGGGAACUGCCUUUGUGACUGCAAGGCUUGAGUGCGGCAGAGGGGGAUGGAAUUCCGCGUGUAGCAGUGAAAUGCGUAGAUAUGCGGAGGAACACCGAUGGCGAAGGCAAUCCCCUGGGCCUGCACUGACGCUCAUGCGCGAAAGCGUGGGGAGCAAAACAGGAUUAGAUACCCUGGGUAGUCCACGCCCUAAACGAUGUCAACUGGUUGUU
Molecule: ribosomal RNA, 479 nt
Filed under: uncultured bacterium
Lineage: Bacteria
Description: partial 16S ribosomal RNA
Rfam family: Bacterial small subunit ribosomal RNA
Source: RNAcentral